AUACGGAGGAUGCGAGCGUUAUCCGGAUUUAUUGGGUUUAAAGGGAGCGUAGGCGGGAGCUUAAGUCAGCGGUUAAAUGGUGCGGCUCAACCGUGCCCUGCCGUUGAAACUGGGUUUCUUGAGAGUGCAAGAGGCGGAUGGAAUUCAUGGUGUAGCGGUGAAAUGCUUAGAUAUCAUGAAGAACUCCGAUUGCGAAGGCUGUCCGCUGGGGCACGUCAGACGCUGAUGCUCGAAGGUGCGGGAAUCAAACAGGAUUAGAUACCCUGGUAGUCCGCACGGUAAACGAUGAUUACCCGCUGUCGGCGGUAGACAGUCGGCGGCCAAGCGAAAGCGAUAAGUAAUCCACCUGGGGAGUUCGCCGGCAACGGUGAAACUCAAAGGAAUUGGCGGGG
RNAcentral lists this ribosomal RNA (392 nucleotides) under uncultured bacterium. RNAcentral describes it as "partial 16S ribosomal RNA". It matches the Rfam family "Bacterial small subunit ribosomal RNA", at positions 523 to 918 of the family's 1533-position model. The record is from RNAcentral.